Non-coding RNA from Styela clava, 807 nucleotides. NCBI's taxonomy places the organism in Eukaryota, Metazoa, Chordata, Ascidiacea, Stolidobranchia, Styelidae. The record is from RefSeq and is a predicted model, not a curated record.
CGUGGAUUGACUGGAGGUUCCGAAGAUUUCAAUUACAUCAUCGAAUUGUAAAAGGUUAAAGAAAAUUUCAUAAUGUUCGAGCUUUUAAGAAGUCCGGCCCUGAAAUCAACUAAGUGAGGAGCCGAAAAUGAUUCACAGUUUCGUACAACGACUUUGAGAACUGAUUUGCAAUUCUUGUCAUGCACGUUCGUGUUCUCAUUGACGGACUGAAUGUUCCGGAGAUCUCAAAUACGUUAUCGACUUGGAAAAGAUGUUUAUAGAAACUGUCAACUGAUCGUGUCGCUCAUGUUCUUUGUACGAACAAUUGAUGUAGAAUCAGAGCCAUCGGGCGAAGAGCAAAUGGCGCGAAGACGGAAGAUAGAAUUUCUAAUCUUCGCAGGAGGAUUCUUCACUUGUGUGGUACUACAAAUUCAUUCUCGUCUGUCGAUCUAUUAGUUAUUCAGCAAGGAAUGGCUAGAUAGGGUUCGACAGACGAAAAGACUAGGUGUUUCAAUGGCUCUUAUUAAAAAUGUUUACAGAAGAACAACACAGUCCGGCGGGUUAGUGCAAUUUAAGAAUCCGAAUGAUUUUUAAUGAUAAUCUGCUCUUUAUGGGCGUGUACAUGAUGUAUAAAUUAAUCACUAUAAAUUGCUGAUUGUACUUUUAUUUAGUAUCAUUCUGAUGUAUCGGUCCACACAGUAAUAAUUCGUGGUCUAUUUGAUACCAUUAAUUUUUAAAAUAGGGGCAAACUAACACCAUUUUUCUUUUAUUAUUGCCGAAACCUUUCUGUCAGCAUUAUUAGCAAUGCGAUCUUUGAAAUGAAACCAA